UCUUAGUGGCGGACGGGUGAGUAACGCGUGGGUAACCUGCCCCAUACCGGGGGAUACCACCUGGAAACAGGUGCUAAUACCGCAUAAGCGCACGGGAGCGCAUGCUCCUGUGUGAAAAACUCCGGUGGUAUGGGAUGGACCCGCGUCUGAUUAGCCAGUUGGCAGGGUAACGGCCUACCAAAGCGACGAUCAGUAGCCGGCCUGAGAGGGUGAACGGCCACAUUGGGACUGAGACACGGCCCAAACUCCUACGGAAGGCAGCAG
This 264-nucleotide ribosomal RNA is filed under the name uncultured bacterium. RNAcentral describes it as "partial 16S ribosomal RNA". It matches the Rfam family "Bacterial small subunit ribosomal RNA", at positions 90 to 354 of the family's 1533-position model. The record is from RNAcentral.